Molecule: ribosomal RNA, 1405 nt
Filed under: uncultured bacterium
Lineage: Bacteria
Description: bacterial SSU rRNA
Rfam family: Bacterial small subunit ribosomal RNA
Source: RNAcentral
GAGUUUGAUCAUGGCUCAGGACGAACGCUGGCGGCGUGCCUAAUACAUGCAAGUAGAACGCUGAAGGGAGGAGCUUGCUCUUCUUGGAUGAGUUGCGAACGGGUGAGUAACGCGUAGGUAACCUGCCUUGUAGCGGGGGAUAACUAUUGGAAACGAUAGCUAAUACCGCAUAACAAUAGGUGACACAUGUCAUUUAUUUGAAAGGGGCAAUUGCUCCACUACAAGAUGGACCUGCGUUGUAUUAGCUAGUAGGUGAGGUAACGGCUCACCUAGGCGACGAUACAUAGCCGACCUGAGAGGGUGAUCGGCCACACUGGGACUGAGACACGGCCCAGACUCCUACGGGAGGCAGCAGUAGGGAAUCUUCGGCAAUGGGGGCAACCCUGACCGAGCAACGCCGCGUGAGUGAAGAAGGUUUUCGGAUCGUAAAGCUCUGUUGUAAGUCAAGAACGAGUGUGAGAGUGGAAAGUUCACACUGUGACGGUAGCUUACCAGAAAGGGACGGCUAACUACGUGCCAGCAGCCGCGGUAAUACGUAGGUCCCGAGCGUUGUCCGGAUUUAUUGGGCGUAAAGCGAGCGCAGGCGGUUUGAUAAGUCUGAAGUUAAAGGCUGUGGCUCAACCAUAGUUCGCUUUGGAAACUGUCAAACUUGAGUGCAGAAGGGGAGAGUGGAAUUCCAUGUGUAGCGGUGAAAUGCGUAGAUAUAUGGAGGAACACCGGUGGCGAAAGCGGCUCUCUGGUCUGUAACUGACGCUGAGGCUCGAAAGCGUGGGGAGCGAACAGGAUUAGAUACCCUGGUAGUCCACGCCGUAAACGAUGAGUGCUAGGUGUUGGAUCCUUUCCGGGAUUCAGUGCCGCAGCUAACGCAUUAAGCACUCCGCCUGGGGAGUACGACCGCAAGGUUGAAACUCAAAGGAAUUGACGGGGGCCCGCACAAGCGGUGGAGCAUGUGGUUUAAUUCGAAGCAACGCGAAGAACCUUACCAGGUCUUGACAUCCCGAUGCUAUUUCUAGAGAUAGAAAGUUACUUCGGUACAUCGGUGACAGGUGGUGCAUGGUUGUCGUCAGCUCGUGUCGUGAGAUGUUGGGUUAAGUCCCGCAACGAGCGCAACCCCUAUUGUUAGUUGCCAUCAUUCAGUUGGGCACUCUAGCGAGACUGCCGGUAAUAAACCGGAGGAAGGUGGGGAUGACGUCAAAUCAUCAUGCCCCUUAUGACCUGGGCUACACACGUGCUACAAUGGUUGGUACAACGAGUUGCGAGUCGGUGACGGCAAGCUAAUCUCUUAAAGCCAAUCUCAGUUCGGAUUGUAGGCUGCAACUCGCCUACAUGAAGUCGGAGUCGCUAGUAAUCGCGGAUCAGCACGCCGCGGUGAAUACGUUCCCGGGCCUUGUACACACCGCCCGUC